RNAcentral lists this ribosomal RNA (257 nucleotides) under uncultured bacterium. RNAcentral describes it as "partial 16S ribosomal RNA". It matches the Rfam family "Bacterial small subunit ribosomal RNA", at positions 17 to 263 of the family's 1533-position model. The record is from RNAcentral.
AUCUGGCUCAGGAUGAACGCUAGCUACAGGCUUAACACAUGCAAGUCGAGGGGCAUCAGUUUGGUUUGCUUGCAAACCAAAGCUGGCGACCGGCGCACGGGUGAGUAACACGUAUCCAACCUGCCUCAUACUCGGGGAUAGCCUUUCGAAAGAAAGAUUAAUAUCCGAUAGCAUAUAUUUCCCGCAUGGGUUUUAUAUUAAAGAAAUUCGGUAUGAGAUGGGGAUGCGUUCCAUUAGUUUGUUGGGGGGGUAACCGG